GACGAGCCACACAAACGUUAUUCGGAAUUACUGGGCUUAAAGGGUGCGUAGGCGGCGCGGCAAGUUGGGUGUGAAAGCCCUCGGCUCAACCGAGGAAUUGCGCCCAAAACUUCCGUGCUUGAGGAAGAUAGAGGUGAGCGGAACUCAGGGUGGAGCGGUGAAAUGCGUUGAUAUCCUGAGGAACACCGGUGGCGAAAGCGGCUCACUGGAUCUUUUCUGACGCUGAGGCACGAAAGCUAGGGUAGCGAACGGG
Molecule: ribosomal RNA, 253 nt
Filed under: uncultured bacterium
Lineage: Bacteria
Description: partial 16S ribosomal RNA
Rfam family: Bacterial small subunit ribosomal RNA
Source: RNAcentral